AAAAAAACAAACCCUAGAUUUUCGUGUCCAACGUUUGACCGUCCGUCUUAUUUAAAAAAAUUAUAAAAAAAAUUAAAAAGACAAGUCACACAUAAAGUAUUAAUCAUGUUUUAUCAUCUAACAACAAUAAAAAUACUAAUUAUAAAAAAAUUCAUAUAAGACGGACAGUUAAACGUUGGACACGGAAAUCAGCAGUACUCCAC
Molecule: non-coding RNA, 203 nt
Organism: Oryza barthii
Lineage: Eukaryota; Viridiplantae; Streptophyta; Magnoliopsida; Poales; Poaceae
Source: Rfam